UACGGAGGGUGCAAGCGUUAUCCGGAUUUACUGGGUUUAAAGGGUGCGUAGGCGGUUUUUUAAGUCAGUGGUGAAAUACCCGUGCUCAACAUGGGAAUUGCCAUUGAUACUGAGGAACUUGAAUAUGAGUGAGGCAGGCGGAAUGAUGCAUGUAGCGGUGAAAUGCUUAGAUAUGUUUCAGAACACCUAUUGCGAAGGCAGCUUGCUAAUUCAUGAUUGACGCUGAGGCACGAAAGCGUGGGGAGCAAACAGGAUUAGAUACCCUGGUAGUCCACGCCCUAAACGAUGAUUACUCGUCAUUGGCGAUAUACGGUUCAGUGACUUAGCGAAAGCGUUAAGUAAUCCACCUGGGGAGUACGCUCGCAAGAGUGAA
This 373-nucleotide ribosomal RNA is filed under the name uncultured bacterium. RNAcentral's name for it is "bacterial SSU rRNA". It matches the Rfam family "Bacterial small subunit ribosomal RNA", at positions 524 to 898 of the family's 1533-position model. The record is from RNAcentral.